GUAAGGAAUAUUGGACAAUGGACGCAAGUCUGAUCCAGCCAUGCCGCGUGAAGGAUUAAGGUCCUCUGGAUUGUAAACUUCUUUUAUAAGGGACGAAAAAAGGCUUUUCUAAGUCGUCUGACGGUACCUUAUGAAUAAGCACCGGCUAACUCCGUGCCAGCAGCCGCGGUAAUACGGAGGGUGCAAGCGUUAUCCGGAUUCACUGGGUUUAAAGGGUGCGUAGGCGGGCAGGUAAGUCAGUGGUGAAAUCCUAGAGCUUAACUCUAGAACUGCCAUUGAUACUAUCUGUUUUGAAUAUUGUGGAGGUAAGCGGAAUAUGUCAUGUAGCGGUGAAAUGCUUAGAUAUGACAUAGAACACCUAUUGCGAAGGCAGCUUACUACGCAUAUAUUGACGCUGAGGCACGAAAGCGUGGGGAUCAAACAGGAUUAGAAACCCCGGUAGUCC
RNAcentral lists this ribosomal RNA (445 nucleotides) under uncultured bacterium. RNAcentral describes it as "partial 16S ribosomal RNA". It matches the Rfam family "Bacterial small subunit ribosomal RNA", at positions 354 to 796 of the family's 1533-position model. The record is from RNAcentral.